Molecule: ribosomal RNA, 402 nt
Filed under: bacterium
Lineage: Bacteria
Description: partial 16S ribosomal RNA
Rfam family: Bacterial small subunit ribosomal RNA
Source: RNAcentral
UGGGGAAUUUUGCACAAUGGGGGAAACCCUGAUGCAGCGACGCCGCGUGAUUUAGAAGGCCUUCGGGUUGUAAAAAUCUUUUCUAUGGGAAGAAAAUGACAGUACCAUAGGAAUAAGGACCGGCUAAUUACGUGCCAGCAGCCGCGGUAAUACGUAAGGUCCGAGCGUUGUCCGGAAUCAUUGGGCGUAAAGGGUACGUAGGCGGGUAAGCAAGUCAGAAGUGAAAUCCUAUAGCUCAACUAUAGUAAGCUUUUAAAACUGCUCAUCUUGUGGUCUGGAAGGGAAAGUGGUAUUCCUAGUGUAGCGGUGAAAUGCGCAGAUAUUAGGAGGAAUACCGGUGGCGAAGGCGACUUUCUGGCCAUAACCUGACGCUGAGGUACGAAAGCGUGGGUAGCAAACAGG